GAUGAACGCUGGCGGCGUGCCUAAUACAUGCAAGUCGAGCGAACGGACGAGAAGGUUGCUUCUCUGAUGUUAGCGGCGGACGGGUGAGUAACACGUGGAUAACCGACCUAUAAGACUGGGAUAACUUCGGGAAACCGGAGCUAAUACCGGAUAAUAUUUUGAACCGCAUUGUUCAAAAGGGAAAGACGGUCUUGCUGUCACUUAUAGAUGGAUCCGCGCUGCAUUAGCUAGUUGGUAAGGUAACGGCUUACCAAGGCAACGAUGCAUAGCCGACCUGAGAGGGUGAUCGGCCACACUGGAACUGAGACACGGUCCAGACUCCUACGGGAGGCAGCAGUAGGGAAUCUUCCGCAAUGGGCGAAAGCCUGACGGAGCAACGCCGCGUGAGUGAUGAAGGUCUUCGGAUCGUAAAACUCUGUUAUUAGGGAAGAACAUAUGUGUAAGUAACUGUGCACAUCUUGACGGUACCUAAUCAGAAAGCCACGGCUAACUACGUG
Molecule: ribosomal RNA, 497 nt
Filed under: uncultured bacterium
Lineage: Bacteria
Description: partial 16S ribosomal RNA
Rfam family: Bacterial small subunit ribosomal RNA
Source: RNAcentral